This 552-nucleotide ribosomal RNA is filed under the name Acrobeloides sp. TKt14. Its description in RNAcentral is "SSU rRNA". It matches the Rfam family "Eukaryotic small subunit ribosomal RNA", at positions 1055 to 1633 of the family's 1831-position model. The record is from RNAcentral. Lineage: Eukaryota; Metazoa; Nematoda; Chromadorea; Rhabditida; Cephalobidae.
CGCCGGUGGAUUUUUAGCCCUGGUGGGUAGCUUCCCGGAAACGAAAGUCUUCCGGUUCCGGGGGAAGUAUGGUUGCAAAGCUGAAACUUAAAGGAAUUGACGGAAGGGCACCACCAGGAGUGGAGCCUGCGGCUUAAUUUGACUCAACACGGGGAAACUCACCCGGCCCGGACACCGUAAGGAUUGACAGAUUGAUAGCUCUUUCAUGAUUCGGUGGUUGGUGGUGCAUGGCCGUUCUUAGUUCGUGGAUCGAUUUGUCUGGUUUAUUCCGAUAACGAGCGAGACUCUAGCCUACUAAAUAGUAACGAGAUUAUCAAUGUCUCAGUUGCUUCUUAGAGGGAUUUUCGGUGUUUAGCCGCACGAGAUUGAGCAAUAACAGGUCUGUGAUGCCCUUAGAUGUCCGGGGCUGCACGCGCGCUACACUGGCGAAAUCAGCGUGCUGUAUCCAUUCUCGAAAGGGAUUGGUAAACCCAUGAAAAUUUGCCGUGCUUGGGAUCGGAAAUUGCAAUUAUUUUCCGUGAACGAGGAAUUCCAAGUAAGUGCGAGUCAUCA